This 494-nucleotide ribosomal RNA is filed under the name uncultured bacterium. RNAcentral describes it as "bacterial SSU rRNA". It matches the Rfam family "Bacterial small subunit ribosomal RNA", at positions 791 to 1286 of the family's 1533-position model. The record is from RNAcentral.
UAGUCCACGCCCUAAACGAUGCUAACUCGAUAUUUGGGUCUUGAACCUGAGUGUCUAAGCGAAAGCGAUAAGUUAGCCACCUGGGGAGUACGUUCGCAAGAAUGAAACUCAAAGGAGUUGACGGGGACCCGCACAAGCGGUGGAGCAUGUGGUUUAAUUCGAGGCAACGCGAAGAACCUUACCAGACCUUGACAUGCCUCUCGCGGAUUUCAGAGAUGAUUUCCUUCAGUUCGGCUGGAGAGUGCACAGGUGCUGCAUGGCUGUCGUCAGCUCGUGCCGUGAGAUGUUGGGUUAAGUCCCGCAACGAGCGCAACCCUCAUUUUUAGUACCAUCAUUUAGUUGGGUACUCUAGAGAAACUGCCGGGGUCAACCCGGAGGAAGGUGGGGAUGACGUCAAGUCUUCAUGGCCCUUAUGGUCUGGGCUACACACGUGCUACAAUGGCAAAUACAAUGAGCAGCGAUCCCGCGAGGGUCAGCUAAUCUCCAAAAUUUGU